AUUCAUCAUCGAAGGGAGGGGGGAGAAGAAUGAAGGAGAAGGGAGUAUUGACCUUUUCUUUUUCUGUUGGUGCAUCAGUGUCGGCAUCAUCAUUGGAGGGAGGACGACCUUCACCUUUCGAUUCCAAUUUUUCAAGAGUUCACCUUUCGAUUCUAAUUUUCCAAGAGCAAAGUAUGUCGGGAGGGAGGAUAGCUUGGGAAGGAGA
This 205-nucleotide long non-coding RNA is filed under the name Elaeis guineensis (African oil palm). RNAcentral's name for it is "long non-coding RNA (EGUI_LNC022893)". The record is from RNAcentral. Lineage: Eukaryota; Viridiplantae; Streptophyta; Magnoliopsida; Arecales; Arecaceae.